Molecule: ribosomal RNA, 630 nt
Filed under: uncultured bacterium
Lineage: Bacteria
Description: bacterial SSU rRNA
Rfam family: Bacterial small subunit ribosomal RNA (bases 1-540)
Source: RNAcentral
CCUACGGGAGGCAGCAGUGGGGAAUUUUGGACAAUGGGGGCAACCCUGAUCCAGCAAUGCCGCGUGAGUGAAGAAGGCCCUCGGGUUGUAAAGCUCUUUUGUCAGGGAAGAAACGGUGGUUCCUAAUACGAGCUGCUAAUGACGGUACCUGAAGAAUAAGCACCGGCUAACUACGUGCCAGCAGCCGCGGUAAUACGUAGGGUGCAAGCGUUAAUCGGAAUUACUGGGCGUAAAGCGUGCGCAGGCGGUUAUAUAAGACAGAGGUGAAAUCCCCGGGCUCAACCUGGGAACUGCCUUUGUGACUGUAUGGCUAGAGUGUGUCAGAGGGGGGUAGAAUUCCACGUGUAGCAGUGAAAUGCGUAGAUAUGUGGAGGAAUACCGAUGGCGAAGGCAGCCCCCUGGGAUAACACUGACGCUCAUGCACGAAAGCGUGGGGAGCAAACAGGAUUAGAUACCCUGGUAGUCCACGCCCUAAACGAUGUCUACUAGUUGUCGGGACUUAAUUGUCUUGGUAACGCAGCUACGCGUGAGUAGACCGCCGUCGGGAGGUACGGUCGCGAGAAGUUAAACUACGAAAGAAGUUAGUACGGCGUGAGACGUAGACCGACGGACGACGACGAGGGAGGAGGG